AUUGAACGCUGGCGGCAGGCCUAACACAUGCAAGUCGAGCGCGAAAGGCCUUCGGGCUGAGUAGAGCGGCGGACGGGUGAGUAACGCGUAGGAAUCUACCUGGUAGUGGGGGACAACUUGGGGAAACUCAAGCUAAUACCGCAUACGCCCCAUGGGGGAAAGCGGGGGACCUUCGGGCCUCGUGCUAUCGGAUGAGCCUGCGUAGGAUUAGCUAGUUGGUGAGGUAAAGGCUCACCAAGGCGACGAUCCUUAGCUGGUCUGAGAGGAUGAUCAGCCACACUGGGACUGAGACACGGCCCAGACUCCUACGGGAGGCAGCAGUGGGGAAUAUUGCGCAAUGGGGGCAACCCUGACGCAGCCAUGCCGCGUGUGUGAAGAAGGCCUUCGGGUUGUAAAGCACUUUAAGUGGGGAAGAAAAGCUGUAGCCUAAUAAGCUGCAGCCGUGACAUUACCCACAGAAUAAGCACCGGCUAACUCCGUGCCAGCCGCCGCAGUAAAAC
RNAcentral lists this ribosomal RNA (500 nucleotides) under uncultured bacterium. RNAcentral's name for it is "bacterial SSU rRNA". It matches the Rfam family "Bacterial small subunit ribosomal RNA", at positions 29 to 526 of the family's 1533-position model. The record is from RNAcentral.